Molecule: ribosomal RNA, 492 nt
Filed under: uncultured bacterium
Lineage: Bacteria
Description: partial 16S ribosomal RNA
Rfam family: Bacterial small subunit ribosomal RNA
Source: RNAcentral
AGUGAACGCUGGCGGUAGGCCUAACACAUGCAAGUCGAACGGCAGCACAGUAAGAUCUUGCUCUUACGGGUGGCGAGUGGCGGACGGGUGAGGCAUACAUCGGAAUCUACUUUUUCGUGGGUGAUAACGUAGGGAAACUUACGCUAAUACCGCAUACGACCUACGGGUGAAAGCAGGGGAUCUUCGGACCUUGCGCGAUUGAAUGAGCCGAUGUCGGAUUAGCUAGUUGGCGGGGUAAAGGCCCACCAAGGCGACGAUCCGUAGCUGGUCUGAGAGGAUGAUCAGCCACACUGGAACUGAGACACGGUCCAGACUCCUACGGGAGGCAGCAGUAGGGAAUAUUGGACAAUGGGCGCAAGCCUGAUCCAGCAAUACCGCGUGGGUGAAGAAGGCCUUCGGGUUGUAAAGCCCUUUUGUUGGGAAAGAAAAGCAGCAGGUUAAUACCCCGCUGUUCUGACGGUACCCAAAGAAUAAGCACCGGCUAACUUCGUG